UCCCUGGUGGCUCAGACAGUAAAGCAUCUGUCUACAAUGCAGGAGACCCAGGUUCGAUCCCUGGGUUGGGAA
Molecule: transfer RNA, 72 nt
Filed under: Bos taurus (domestic cattle)
Lineage: Eukaryota; Metazoa; Chordata; Mammalia; Artiodactyla; Bovidae
Also listed under: 1 other name
Rfam family: tRNA
About the family: Transfer RNA (tRNA) molecules are approximately 80 nucleotides in length. Their secondary structure includes four short double-helical elements and three loops (D, anti-codon, and T loops).
Source: Rfam by way of RNAcentral